RNAcentral lists this ribosomal RNA (131 nucleotides) under uncultured eukaryote. Its description in RNAcentral is "partial 18S ribosomal RNA". It matches the Rfam family "Eukaryotic small subunit ribosomal RNA", at positions 1299 to 1458 of the family's 1831-position model. The record is from RNAcentral.
UGGUGGAGCGAUUUGUCUGGUUAAUUCUGUUAACGAAUGAGACCUCAGCCUGCUAACUAGCUAUGCAGACCGCAGCUAGCUUCUUAGAGGGACUAUGGCCGUUUAGGCCACAAAAGUAUGAGGCAAUAACA